CUGACAAUGGGGCGCAGCUGAUCAGCCAUGCCGCGUGUGUGAUGAAGGCCUUCGGGUUGUAAAGCUCUUUCGGCGGGGAGGAAAAUCCUCUGGCUAAUACCCCAGGCUCUUGACCUUUCCGUGCCAACAGCCGCGGGGUUACUUUUGCCCCCCCGCCUUUAAUAUGUUUGACUUUGAUGGAGAUAAGACUCUCCAUGUGGAUAUGGAAAAGAAUGAGACGGUCUGGGGGGGGGGGGGGGAUUGGACAAUUUUCCAGCUGUGAGGGUGGGGUUGCAUUGGCCAACAUGGGUUUGGCCAACUUCAACCUGUAAAUCAUGACA
RNAcentral lists this ribosomal RNA (320 nucleotides) under uncultured Rhodocyclaceae bacterium. RNAcentral describes it as "partial 16S ribosomal RNA". The record is from RNAcentral. Lineage: Bacteria; Pseudomonadati; Pseudomonadota; Betaproteobacteria; Rhodocyclales; Rhodocyclaceae.